This 1098-nucleotide long non-coding RNA is filed under the name Numida meleagris (helmeted guineafowl). Its description in RNAcentral is "lncRNA (ENSNMEG00000021054.1)". The record is from RNAcentral. Lineage: Eukaryota; Metazoa; Chordata; Aves; Galliformes; Numididae.
GAACUCUGUCCUGUGCACGAGGCUCUUGCAAAACAAUGGUAUCCGGGCAGGGCACAGCCUUGUUUACAGACUUCUCUCCUGCCUCUUCCCACACGGCACACACAAACACCCUUCUCGCGCCCGCCCGCCUCCUUCCACGCGAAGCCCAACUCAGGCACGGCCCGGCCGAGCCCGGCGUCUCCCCUGCGCGCGGCGGGCCGGAGGCGCCCGGGCCGGGCCGGGCCUCGGGGCGUCGAGUGGCCCCGGAGCGGAGCGCGGAGCGGCCCCGCCGAGUCCCAAGCGAGCGCUGGGCGCGGCCCGGGCGGCGCGGUCGGGAGGGAGCAGCGGCGGCAGCGCUCCCCGCGCGGGGCUGCGCGCAGGUGCUGGAGGCUGCGGGGAGGCCGCGUCCGGGCCCGGCAAUGCGGCUCCGCCCCUCGGGCCCUCCUGUGGCGGCGGCAGCGGCUGCUGUUCCCGGCGCGGCCGCGGCGCCGCUCCCCCUCCCCGGCUCGCUGGGCUGCCCCUCAUGCGGAUGUGACAUUUCACGGCGUUUACCGCAGCCGCCAUUUUGAGACACUGAGCGCUGGCGGCGGCGGAGCGGCAGCAGAGCGCCGGGCCACAGGCAGCCGGGGCGGCCCGCGGGCCGGGAGGAGCGAGCCGGGCGUCGGCCAGCGGCUGUGCCGGGGCGCUGGGGGGGCGGGAGGGCAGAGGAGGGGCCCCGCGGCGCCUCCCCGACUUCGCAGCGCCGGGGACACCUCGCCGGGGGAGGGGGGAAGCGCCGGGCGCAGCCGCCGGGCCCUGACUCCUGAUCUCCCGUCCCCCCUCCCUCCCCUCCUCCCGGUCCCCUCCCCUCCGGCCCCCGGGGCAGCCGCCGCCCCCGGCCGGUCCCUCCUCCCCACCCCCUUCCCCAGACCGGGUGCCGCCGCCGAGAUUGGGCGAAUAGCGAGCAAAUACGUGCGCGUCUCGCUGCCUCCCCCGGCUGCCCGCUCCCUGCCCGCCGGAGCCCAGCCGCAGCCCCCCGAGGCGGGCGCCCAUCCCCGGCAGCUGCCCGGGCCCCGCCGCUCCUCCGCCCCGUCCCCUCCCGACGCAGCCCCGCAGCCCCCAGCGGGAAAGGCCCAGGCC